GGCAAUCCCCCAUCAGAAUAAUAAAUUAAGGAAAAGGUGAUCAACUUUUAUUCCCCACUCUAGCAGCAUUUUCGGAAGUCUCUCCGGCGAUUCUGUGCAAUAUAAGAUGAAUUCACGGUAAAAAUGAUGCAAUGGUAAUCAAAUAAGCAUGAACUUUAUGAAAUUAUGAUACAAAAUACAGAUAUCACUGGUAAUCAUGGACGAUUGUUUCGAUAGUAGCUGGCACUAUGCACAAUGCAUGCAUGUACUAUGUGAAACGUGCAUCAACUAGACCUGAUUAUAGUCCGUCGUUGUGGGUAUUGGAUUCAUCCGAGUCUUGCCAGUGUUGGUACUCAAACUCUGCCGUCGAGAGACUCUUCUAGUCACUGAACCGUCAUCAGGAAGACCGCUGUGUGAUCACAAAUGCAGGCUCUUACACCAAAUGUCAAAUUGCAGCUAAAAAUAUCGCAAGAAACAUGUGUACCACUAUUUCAUUUAUGAGACAGGGCUUUCAACACCCGGGUGCCCAACAACAACCUGCCCAUGGCUGGACAACACAAGGGGAAAACAACUUUACUAGGCCGCAUCGUGGACUAGCACGCUUCUGGCCUACAUGCAAACGACCUGCGGACUCGAUUGAACCGAGUUUACAAAUUAACAUAUUGCAACAUAAACUAGCGUACUUGACACAAACACACUUAACUUCGGCAUGGUCCGGAGAUCAGGUGGACGGGCAGCUGCUCUCACACUUUGGGAGGUUUCCUCUCAUUCUUAUUCUUAUGCCGCGGCUUCAUUUUGCUAUUCUGAGCCACGACGGCGGUAUUCUUGGGUUGUGUAUUCCCGUUCUUCAACGACCGCAGUUUCUUCAUCUUCGUACUGGUUGGCGUUAUCUUUGUCUUGUUAGGGGCAUUCUUUGCAGCUUCCUUGCCCUUGCCCAUGAUGCGAUCACCUUCUCUNUCUUAGAAUUUAUGACGAUAUUCGUCGUUUCUUCUUCUUUUCAGGCGAGGUGGAUGAUUGGUGUUUAGUUUUCUCCGGUUGGGUUCAGAAAGCCUGCGGCAACAGCUGCAUAAACAGGAGGUGGGAGGUCUUGGGAAAGCGCUCACAUGGGACGACAACACGCUUUCGCCCGAGGAGGUUUGGUGGGGUUGCCAGUGC
This 1134-nucleotide long non-coding RNA is filed under the name Hordeum vulgare. Its description in RNAcentral is "long non-coding RNA (HVUL_LNC020695)". The record is from RNAcentral. Lineage: Eukaryota; Viridiplantae; Streptophyta; Magnoliopsida; Poales; Poaceae.